ACACAUACAUACGCUUACCACUCUGUUGCUAGCUAAUUCCCCGCCGAGAGCCGAUUUUGGUCAGACACGUUUCCUCAACUUGGCUAACAAAAUUCCUGUCUCAAUUAAAUUUAUGACUGGAGCUGUUUCACCCUCGGCAUCGGCAUUCGUUCAUCUUAUUCCACACAGAUAGCAUCCGCAGCUAAAAAUUUCUGCAACUUAUUCAGCCUAGAUCGUAUUACAAAUAGAUCUGUUUGUCUUCGAAGUGGGAGCUUUCUGAGAACUCAAAACUUUUCAAAUAAUAUAAAUUUAGAAUUCCGUGAUUGUUAAGUCUAGCAAUACCGUAUUUGAAACCGUAUAGAAGUAUCAGGUAUGAUGGUUUGUCCUGAGAAUUUUUUUGUAUCAGAAUUGAAAAAUGCUGAACAAUUGUAAUCCAUGCUUAUUUCAGUUUAGAAGUGACAAGUUUUUUAUUGAAAUUGGACAUUUCUUGAAAUCCCAAGACUUUAGAAGUAUCAUUCAAAAUAAAAAAGUACAGAGUUAUUAUAACCGGAUGUUAAUAGCUGUAUAAAAGUGAGAAGUUUAAUAUUGGAAUUUUAAUUAUAUUUUAACAAUCUAAGACUUUUAGGAGUGACAUAACUGAGUUGAAUGAAAUUCUGAUCGGGUGUUUUUGAUAUCUUCAAAAAAGAAUUUCUGGAGAACAAUACAGUGAUUCAGAUCAUGCAACUUAAUAAUUCGAGUCCUGUAAAAGUAACAAGCGUAAUUUAAACAUGGGUAUUAGUAUUGAGUAUAGACGAGUUUUUCUUAGAACAAUAGUGAUAAAAUAAACAACGUCCGAACUUCGUUAUUGUCCGUUACUGUUGUAAUUUGAACUGAGUAUUUUUUUGACAACCCAAUACCGGUCUUUUGAAGUAUCAUAAUUUGAAGAUACAAAGUGUGCAAAAGUUGAAGGAAUGUUCCGAAAGUUGGUUUUUUAAAGUCGAGUAAAAGUUGAAGGAAUGUUUUGAAAGUUGGUUUCUCUCAAUCUCCAAAAAAGGAAGUUUUUAAAAGUUCAGAAACAUCAGGAUUUAAGAUUACAGUGAUUGUAGUAGGUACCGUGAUGUAAUUUUUGAUGUUUUAAGCCGUGUAUUAGCAAGAUAUAUAGAAUUAAAAAGUGAGUAUUUUGUUUCAUACAAGUCUGUAACAGCAGUUGCGCUGCUUGAUGGUAACUUCACAUGUAUACAAUUCGUUUAAUAUUCAGGUCGAGUCGCAAUGUAUUCUAUCAAAGAACAACGUGUGUCUAUUGUACUGCUUUAGAGUGAAUCCGAUUCGUUCGCCAAGUGUCAAAAAACGUUCUUCGAUAAUAUUCAGAGUGGGGGAAAAAUAAGUGUAUUAUUAUAAAAAUAAAAAAUAAGUGUAUUAUCUCCAGAAUGUUGUAUGGCUAUUUCGCUGUAGUUAGUUGUAUAACUUAACACAUCUAGCCAGAAACACAAUGCUUCGUCUGGAGCACGAGCCUAUUGCGAUGGAGAUGAGAAUUGAGAAUAGAGACGAGUCUAUGAAAUAAUGUGGAACGUAGACGGGGAAACCGAGGCCAAGAAUUUUUAGAUGAAGUGUAAUUUUGUAUUUUGUGAAUGAUCCUUUUGACAGGCUGUCCAAUAUGUUGUCCUAAAUUGCGGUCACACCUAAUUUGAUCUUGAAUUUUCAAGCAUUUAGAUUCAUCUGUUUCAUAAUGAAAUCCAAAGAAAUUUGGAAAUUUGUGAGUUGAAAAAUAAAGGUUUUAAUUGGUGAGGUUCAAAGCGUAUUUAGUUUGGAUUUGAUAAAUUACAAACAUAUUCAACGAUUUUCGUAAUAUUAUUAGUGGUAUUUUUUAGUAUCCUUUUGCAUCGUUCUAAAAAUUAGUGCUAUUGAAAGGUGAUAAAUUCCGUUCAUAGCUAAUCCUUUUCAUAUAAAUUCAACAAUCUAAUGAUAGUUGAAAGGGAAAACAAUUUUUUCAGCUAAACAAGGAGUUCAUCAAUUUUAACUUUAUUUUUCUCCUAGAAGCAUCCAAAUUCAAAAGUUAAGAAUUAAGAAAACUUAUUAAAGGUUUGGAAUGCAAUAAUUAGAAAUCAAGAUUCAAUAACAAAUGGAAAUCAAACCCCCCAACAACAGUUAAAUUAUUAUUUAUUCUAUUUAUUCGUUCAAAAACGGUUGACACUAUUAAAUUACAUGGUUAGCAGAGACAGAAUGAAUUUGUGAGAAUUAGAGAGGGGCGCUACAAACUUUAGAAACAUGCAACAGCUCUGUUAAACGUUUCUAAGCAAAAAAGGCCAGAGUGAAGAUUGGCAACCUUCCAGCACCCAAGAGUUCAACUGUUUGUAAUUUUUCAAACUGUCUUCCUCACUAUUAUAUCCAAAUAUGGCAUUCUCAAACUUCGCUGAGUGCUGAGAAUACUUUCUUAAAAAGUGGAACAACGUUAACAUUUUCAAUAAAACUUCAAACUUUUGACGUCAUUUACCAAGCUCAUCAAUAACAAUGACAAAUAAUAAUUUUAAUAACCAGUAGAAAGCACAUCGAAAGUCAUCAAUCCAAUGUGUAUGUACAAUUGGAUUUGAAAAAAAUAUAUAUACUAAUCAAGAUUCAUCCACAAUACGCUACACAAUGUUGACAAUAAUAGCCAUCAAUCUAGGUAUUCAAAUUGGUUGGGAAAAUUGAAAACAUAUAUAACAGAUAGACCUACUAACAUUAUUCUCGCUAGAACAAUCAUAUAAGAGUAUAGAAUAAAAAAAGUUGGCAUAAAAUGUAGAGGGUUAUGAGCAUUAAAUAAAUGUGAAGAGGCAAUUCACAAGUUCUUCUCUCUGAUAAAUGCUAACAAACUUAUGAUUACAAGUGUAGUACGUAAUUAAUCAAUUAAUAAUAUAAUAAGUGAGAGAUCAUACAAAAUUAAGUUCUAUGGAAAGGGAAUCAAGAAUCAUGACAGGGACAGUAAAACCCCAUACAGUACCAGAGAAAACUGACACGGUUUUGAUUAACAAUAAAGGGUAAUUCACGUACCGCCAGAGUAAACUUGGAAGAUUGUUUUAUUCUAUGCCCAUACAUAAUUCAUUGGUAAGAUUAGUUGAUCAAUCAUAAGCCUCAAAUUUGUUCCAUGUCACAUUCCAGCUUCAAAUGCUGCUGAAUAAGCGUUUAGAGAAACAAUCAAUAUUGAAAUAAACUCUAUUAAACCGAUAAAGCUAUUGAACUGUGCCUCAUAUUAUUUUGCUUAUGAGAUUUUUUCUGUUUGUCAUCCUUCAUUUUCAAACUUUUUUAUAUUUAUAAUAUAGAUCUAUUUAUAGAUUUCUUUAUCGGUUAAGUAGCUCACUGAAGGA
Long non-coding RNA from Nilaparvata lugens (brown planthopper), 3299 nucleotides. RefSeq lists it as uncharacterized. The record is from RefSeq and is a predicted model, not a curated record. The transcript is spliced from 3 exons. Lineage: Eukaryota; Metazoa; Arthropoda; Insecta; Hemiptera; Delphacidae.